GGAUAAGCGAGGAGGAGGAAGAUCGGUCUGGUGCUGGCGGGGACUUAUUUUGGACGACAUUGUUCCUUUUACCGUAUUUAUAUUACAUACGGUAGCUUUUUGAUGUCGAUGUUUAUAUUUUGGACUUAGUCAAGAAGUAUACUCUCGGCUAUAUGUCUUCAUACAUAUAGUCUGUUCACGUUUUGCUGCGAGACUCUGUAAAUUAUAAACCUUUGUAAAUUUUUAACUAUGUCCGCUUUGUAAACUUUGUCGAGAAUCCCUGUACUUUUGAACUUAUGAAGCCGAUAAUAUUUGUGUCUUUGAAAUGUUGUUAUUGUGUUUCAUCUUUGCUUGUUUUGUUGUGAGCUUCCGCUUGUUGUUUGAU
Molecule: long non-coding RNA, 364 nt
Filed under: Salvia miltiorrhiza (redroot sage)
Lineage: Eukaryota; Viridiplantae; Streptophyta; Magnoliopsida; Lamiales; Lamiaceae
Description: long non-coding RNA (SMIL_LNC013914)
Source: RNAcentral